This 200-nucleotide ribosomal RNA is filed under the name uncultured prokaryote. RNAcentral's name for it is "partial 16S ribosomal RNA". It matches the Rfam family "Bacterial small subunit ribosomal RNA", at positions 1184 to 1382 of the family's 1533-position model. The record is from RNAcentral.
GUCAAGUCAUCAUGCCCCUUAUGUUCUGGGCUACACACGUGCUACAUUGGCCGGUACAAAGGGCUGCAAACCCGUGAGGGGGAGCGAAUCCCAAAAAGCCGGUCCCGGUUCGGAUUGAAGGCUGAAACUCGCCUUCAUGAAGGCGGAGUUGCUAGUAAUCGCGGAUCAGCAAUGCCGCGGUGAAUACGUUCCCGGGCCUU